RNAcentral lists this ribosomal RNA (826 nucleotides) under uncultured Bacteroidota bacterium. RNAcentral describes it as "bacterial SSU rRNA". It matches the Rfam family "Bacterial small subunit ribosomal RNA", at positions 1 to 814 of the family's 1533-position model. Lineage: Bacteria; Pseudomonadati; Bacteroidota. The record is from RNAcentral.
UGGAUCCAGACUUUGAUCAUGGCUCAGGAUGAACGCUAGCUACAGGCUUAACACAUGCGAGUCGAGGGGAAACGACAUCGAAAGCUUGCUUUUGAUGGGCGUCGACCGGCGCACGGGUGAGUAACGCGUAUCCAACCUGCCCAUCACUUGGGGAUAACCUUGCGAAAGUAAGACUAAUACCCAAUGACGUCUCUAGAAGACAUCUGAAAGAGAUUAAAGAUUUAUCGGUGAUGGAUGGGGAUGCGUCUGAUUAGCUUGUUGGCGGGGUAACGGCCCACCAAGGCAACGAUCAGUAGGGGUUCUGAGAGGAAGGUCCCCCACAUUGGAACUGAGACACGGUCCAAACUCCUACGGGAGGCAGCAGUGAGGAAUAUUGGUCAAUGGGCGAGAGCCUGAACCAGCCAAGUAGCGUGCAGGAUGACGGCCCUAUGGGUUGUAAACUGCUUUUAUAAGGGAAUAAAGUGAGUCUCGUGAGACUUUUUGCAUGUACCUUAUGAAUAAGGACCGGCUAAUUCCGUGCCAGCAGCCGCGGUAAUACGGAAGGUCCGGGCGUUAUCCGGAUUUAUUGGGUUUAAAGGGAGCGUAGGCCGGAGAUUAAGCGUGUUGUGAAAUGUAGACGCUCAACGUCUGCACUGCAGCGCGAACUGGUUUCCUUGAGUACGCACAAAGUGGGCGGAAUUCGUGGUGUAGCGGUGAAAUGCUUAGAUAUCACGAAGAACUCCGAUUGCGAAGGCAGCUCACUGGAGCGCAACUGACGCUGAAGCUCGAAAGUGCGGGUAUCGAACAGGAUUAGAUACCCUGGUAGUCCGCACGGUAAACGAUGGAU